UACGGAGGGUGCGAGCGUUGUCCGGAAUCACUGGGCGUAAAGGGCGCGUAGGUGGCGCGACAAGUCAACGGUGAAAGCUCGGCGCUCAACGCCGAGUCGGCCGUCGAUACUGUUGGGCUUGAGCACUGUAGAGGCUAAUGGAAUUCCGGGUGUAGCGGUGGAAUGCGUAGAGAUCCGGAAGAACACCGGUGGCGAAGGCGGCCUGCUGGGCAGUAGCUGACGCUGAGGCGCGACAGCGUGGGGAGCAAACAGG
This 253-nucleotide ribosomal RNA is filed under the name uncultured bacterium. RNAcentral describes it as "partial 16S ribosomal RNA". It matches the Rfam family "Bacterial small subunit ribosomal RNA", at positions 524 to 776 of the family's 1533-position model. The record is from RNAcentral.